Molecule: long non-coding RNA, 873 nt
Filed under: Ananas comosus (pineapple)
Lineage: Eukaryota; Viridiplantae; Streptophyta; Magnoliopsida; Poales; Bromeliaceae
Description: long non-coding RNA (ACOM_LNC035051)
Source: RNAcentral
AAUAUUUAUUGGCAUGGGCAUAUAAACUUUGCCGUAUUGUGCGAAUAAAAUAUCAGUAUAAUACAAUCUCCGUGCUGAUUGCACAAUUCAGAAUUUUCUAUUCUUUAUAUUAUUUAGUAAUUUUCUCAAUAAAGUUCAAAAUAUUUGAUAAAAAUACACAAUAAAUAAUUAAUAUAUUUUGUUGUUAAAAAUAUAAAUAUUUCAUGCCAUUAUGUGUCCGUAUAAGAUUGGUACUUUUUGUGAUAGGUACGCAUCAGUAUGGCCUAGCAUAUACUCUGUCGUAUCGCUAUGCCGGUAAGUUUUCGACACAACUCUGUGCCACGUUAUUUAAAUCUUUAUUUUUAACGGUAAAUAUUUUAUAGUAAAAUAAAGAAAAACUAUUGAAUAGUUAAGUAUAACUUUUUAUACCAUAGGCUCGUGGAGUGGUAAAAUAAAAAUACACUAUACAACAUAGUAGUUAAGUAUGAUAUUUUGAAGGGAAAACUUCAAAAACCUCCCCUAUGGUUUCGUAGUUUCUCACUUUGCCUCCCUGUGGUUUAAAAUGUAUCAAAUUGCGCCCAUGUGGUUUCGUUUAUCUUUUCGGUAGCUUUUUCCUUAAUAUUUUAUUAAAUUAUAUACAAAAAACUUCAUAUAUCCAUUUAGAUUUAUCAAAUUUUCACUUUAGUACCCUUUAAUUUUAACUUUAUCACUGAUUUAAAAAAUAAUAAUAAUAAAAUUGAUAAAAAAAAAAGGAGAAAAAAGAGACCACGGGAGGACAAAUUGAUACAUUUUAAAUCAUAGGAGGGCAAAGUAAGAAACUACGAAACCACAUAGGGGGGGUUUUGAAGUUUUUUUAUUUUGAAGCACGAAAUAAUAAAGUAAAAAUAUGCUAUU